CGAUUACACACGAGUAAAAAAUGACAACGGUGGUGCAUGAUUCACACACGGUCGUUGUCAAUAUGACACCGGUCGUGUAUGAAUUAUGCACCACCACCUGCAUAAUGAUGCACCACCGUUGUUACUUUGUACACCGACGUGCAUGAAUCGUACACGAUCGUUGCCAUUUUAGCAACUACCGUGUAUGAAUCAUGCACCACCGUUGUCAUUUUUUUUACUCGUGUGCAAUCGGCUGCAUAUUUACCAUUUUUUUCCGUGUUAUUGAAAGAGAAAGGACGCAUUGUGCAAAAAAUUUAUUGAAAAUGAAUAAUAAUUCGCAAGAUCCUCAAAAUAUCAUUGGUGAGUUGUUAGAAAUCGAUGGCAAUAUUGUUGUGGUUCGCGAUACAAACCAUUGCAGCAGUCAAGAUGCGGAAAACAAUGAGGACGAUUAUAUGUUAAGGGAGUUCUUAAAAGGAAUAAAUAUGGAGUCGCUUUUUGAACAAUUAAAAGGUAAGUAAAUAAAAAUGAAUUUUUCAGUUAAUCAGUGUAAUUAACAAAGAAUUUUCUUUUUUGUUCUUUUAGCAUCACAUGUAACAUUUCGCAGCUUGCAGUACUUGAAAAAAGAAGAUUUAAAGGAAGCAGUGCCACCAUUGGGACUGCGUGUUGAAUUCAGAGAAAAGCUCUUUGCUUGGAAAAAACGAAAGCUCGGGAUUGAUGACGAAACUAUGUCAGUUCCAUCUAAAAUAGGUGAAUGGUGGAAACGCAACGAGACACCUGCAAGUACUCCUGGUACUCCCGACACUACAGGUUCGAACUGCUCAAAAGCCAAAGGAAUUUUGUCAGAGGAUCUAACGGAAUUGUUAACACAUACCUCGAAGGGGAAACUAGCGCUUGAAUGUAGUAGCGUUAAUAAGAAAUUAAGUGACGAGCAAAGAGAUGAUAUAAUUAAUAUAAUUAUUGAAGAUAUUUUAACCAACAAUGUUACUCUUUACACUCAAGACUAUAUGCGCAUAUUGGAUGAAAUUUGUUCCGUUUUUCCUCUUGAAAACGAAAUGAGGGUAAGAUUAACAAUAUAAACAACGUAUCUGAUUAUGUAGUUUCUUAACUUAUAAUAUGUCUUUAUUUUUAGGAUUAUUAUUACAUUUCAAGAAAAGGAAAGAACAACGC
This is a long non-coding RNA of Musca domestica (house fly), 1146 nucleotides long. RefSeq lists it as uncharacterized. The record is from RefSeq and is a predicted model, not a curated record. NCBI's taxonomy places the organism in Eukaryota, Metazoa, Arthropoda, Insecta, Diptera, Muscidae. The transcript is spliced from 3 exons.